RNAcentral lists this transfer RNA (75 nucleotides) under uncultured Pseudomonas sp. Its description in RNAcentral is "transfer RNA-Ala". It matches the Rfam family "Bacterial small subunit ribosomal RNA", at positions 1463 to 1533 of the family's 1533-position model. Lineage: Bacteria; Pseudomonadati; Pseudomonadota; Gammaproteobacteria; Pseudomonadales; Pseudomonadaceae. The record is from RNAcentral.
UGUGAUUCAUGACUGGGGUGAAGUCGUAACAAGGUAACCGUAGGGGAACCUGCGGUUGGAUCACCUCCUUACCUU